GAUGAACGCUGGCGGCGUGCUUAACACAUGCAAGUCGAACGAGAAUCAACGGAUUGAGGAUUCGUCCAAAUGAAGUUGAGGAAAGUGGCGGACGGGUGAGUAACGCGUGAGGAACCUGCCUCGGAGUGGGGAAUAACAGUUAGAAAUGACUGCUAAUACCGCAUAAGACCACAGCACCGCAUGGUGCAGGGGUAAAAACUCCGGUGGUAUGAGAUGGAUCCGCGUCUGAUUAGCUAGUUGGUAAGGUAACGGCUUACCAAGGCAACGAUCAGUAGCCGACCUGAGAGGGUGACCGGCCACAUUGGGACUGAGACACGGCCCAA
RNAcentral lists this ribosomal RNA (323 nucleotides) under uncultured bacterium. RNAcentral describes it as "bacterial SSU rRNA". It matches the Rfam family "Bacterial small subunit ribosomal RNA", at positions 28 to 334 of the family's 1533-position model. The record is from RNAcentral.